This 255-nucleotide ribosomal RNA is filed under the name uncultured bacterium. Its description in RNAcentral is "partial 16S ribosomal RNA". It matches the Rfam family "Bacterial small subunit ribosomal RNA", at positions 524 to 776 of the family's 1533-position model. The record is from RNAcentral.
UACAGAGGGUGCAAGCGUUGUUCGGAAUUAUUGGGCGUAAAGGGCGCGUAGGCGGUGCGGUAAGUCUGUAGUGAAAUCUCUGGGCUCAACUCAGAGUCUGCUGCAGAAACUGCCGUGCUUGAGUGUGGGAGAGGUGAGUGGAAUUCCCGGUGUAGCGGUGAAAUGCGUAGAUAUCGGGGAGGAACACCUGUGGCGAAAAGCGGCUCACUGGACCACAACUGACGCUGAGGCGCGACAGCGUGGGGAGCAAACAGG